UGGCCAUGUUGGUCAGGCUGGUCUCGAACU
Molecule: non-coding RNA, 30 nt
Filed under: Homo sapiens (human)
Lineage: Eukaryota; Metazoa; Chordata; Mammalia; Primates; Hominidae
Source: RNAcentral